RNAcentral lists this ribosomal RNA (500 nucleotides) under Fusarium chlamydosporum. RNAcentral's name for it is "eukaryotic LSU rRNA". The stretch from base 133 to 286 matches the Rfam family "5.8S ribosomal RNA". The record is from RNAcentral. Lineage: Eukaryota; Fungi; Ascomycota; Sordariomycetes; Hypocreales; Nectriaceae.
CAAACCCCUGUGACAUACCUAUACGUUGCCUCGGCGGAUCAGCCCGCGCCCCGUAAAAAGGUACGGCCCGCCCGAGGACCCCUAAACUCUGUUUUUAGUGGAACUUCUGAGUAAAACAAACAAAUAAAUCAAAACUUUCAACAACGGAUCUCUUGGUUCUGGCAUCGAUGAAGAACGCAGCAAAAUGCGAUAAGUAAUGUGAAUUGCAGAAUUCAGUGAAUCAUCGAAUCUUUGAACGCACAUUGCGCCCGCCAGUAUUCUGGCGGGCAUGCCUGUUCGAGCGUCAUUUCAACCCUCAAGCUCAGCUUGGUGUUGGGACUCGCGGUAACCCGCGUUCCCCAAAUCGAUUGGCGGUCACGUCGAGCUUCCAUAGCGUAGUAAUCAUACACCUCGUUACUGGUAAUCGUCGCGGCCACGCCGUAAAACCCCAACUUCUGAAUGUUGACCUCGGAUCAGGUAGGAAUACCCGCUGAACUUAAGCAUAUCAAUAAGCGGAGGAA